This 433-nucleotide ribosomal RNA is filed under the name uncultured bacterium. RNAcentral describes it as "partial 16S ribosomal RNA". It matches the Rfam family "Bacterial small subunit ribosomal RNA", at positions 356 to 779 of the family's 1533-position model. The record is from RNAcentral.
UGGGAAUUUUGGACAAUUGGGCGAAAGCCUGAUCCAGCAAUGCCGCGUGUGUGAAGAAGGCCUUCGGGUUGUAAAGCACUUUUGUCCGGAAAGAAAUCCUUGGCUCUAAUACAGUCGGGGGAUGACGGUACCGGAAGAAUAAGCACCGGCUAACUACGUGCCAGCAGCCGCGGUAAUACGUAGGGUGCAAGCGUUAAUCGGAAUUACUGGGCGUAAAGCGUGCGCAGGCGGUUUGCUAAGACCGAUGUGAAAUCCCCGGGCUCAACCUGGGAACUGCAUUGGUGACUGGCAGGGCUAGAGUAUGGCAGAGGGGGGUAGAAUUCCACGUGUAGCAGUGAAAUGCGUAGAGAUGUGGAGGAAUACCGAUGGCGAAGGCAGCCCCCUGGGCCAAUACUGACGCUCAUGCACGAAAGCGUGGGGAGCAAACAGGAUU